GACGAACGCUGGCGGCGUGCUUAACGCAUGCGAGUCGAACGGAAAGGCCCUGCUUUUGUGGGGUGCUCGAGUGGCGAACGGGUGAGUAACACGUGAGUAACCUGCCCUUGACUUUGGGAUAACUUCAGGAAACUGGGGCUAAUACCGGAUAGGAGCUCCUGCUGCAUGGUGGGGGUUGGAAGGUUUCGGCGGUUGGGGAUGGACUCGCGGCUUAUCAGCUUGUUGGUGGGGUAGUGGCUUACCAAGGCUUUGACGGGUAGCCGGCCUGAGAGGGUGACCGGCCACAUUGGGACUGAGAUACGGCCCAGACUCCUACGGGAGGCAGCAGUGGGGAAUAUUGCACAAUGGGCGGAAGCCUGAUGCAGCAACGCCGCGUGCGGGAUGACGGCCUUCGGGUUGUAAACCGCUUUCGCCUGUGACGAAGCGUGAGUGACGGUAAUGGGUAAAGAAGCACCGGCUAACUACGUG
Molecule: ribosomal RNA, 468 nt
Filed under: uncultured bacterium
Lineage: Bacteria
Description: partial 16S ribosomal RNA
Rfam family: Bacterial small subunit ribosomal RNA
Source: RNAcentral